This 683-nucleotide ribosomal RNA is filed under the name uncultured bacterium. Its description in RNAcentral is "bacterial SSU rRNA". It matches the Rfam family "Bacterial small subunit ribosomal RNA", at positions 126 to 807 of the family's 1533-position model. The record is from RNAcentral.
CUGCCCCUGUCAGGGGGACAACCCGCCGAAAGGCGGGCUAAACCCGCGUACAUGCCACCGGGGCAUCCCGGAGGCAGGAAAGGCUUCGGCCGGACAGGGAUGGGCAUGCGGCGCAUUAGGCAGUAGGCGGGGUAACGGCCCACCUAACCGACGAUGCGUAGGGGUUCUGAGAGGAAGGUCCCCCACACUGGUACUGAGACACGGACCAGACUCCUACGGGAGGCAGCAGUGAGGAAUAUUGGUCAAUGGUCGGGAGACUGAACCAGCCAAGCCGCGUGAGGGAGGAAGGUACAGAGUAUCGUAAACCUCUUUUGUCAGGGAACAAAGACUGGGACGCGUCCCCGGAUGAGUGUACCUGAGGAAAAAGCAUCGGCUAACUCCGUGCCAGCAGCCGCGGUAAUACGGAGGAUGCGAGCGUUAUCCGGAUUUAUUGGGUUUAAAGGGUGCGCAGGCGGUCUGUUAAGUCAGCGGUCAAAGCCCGGGGCUCAACCCCGGCCCGCCGUUGAAACUGGCAGUCUCGAGUUGGAGAGAAGUAUGCGGAAUGCGCGGUGUAGCGGUGAAAUGCAUAGAUAUCGCGCAGAACUCCGAUUGCGAAGGCAGCAUGCCGGCUCCACACUGACGCUGAGGCACGAAAGCGUGGGUAUCGAACAGGAUUAGAUACCCUGGUAGUCCACGCAGUAAAC